Molecule: ribosomal RNA, 633 nt
Filed under: Triticum aestivum (bread wheat)
Lineage: Eukaryota; Viridiplantae; Streptophyta; Magnoliopsida; Poales; Poaceae
Description: partial small subunit ribosomal RNA
Source: RNAcentral
AUGGAUCAACCAAUCAAGUUACCAUCUUUUAAUGAAAAAGAUGUAGAAUUUGCUCAAAAGAUUUUUCGACUUGGAAGAGACAAUGCCUUAAAUCUAAGGAUAACAUAUGCUAGAGCAGAAUAUCUGAAUCCAACCAUGUAUGAACGGUACCACAAUAUAUAUUUCCGUUCUCCAGAUGGCCAUGGCGAUGAUAAUGAGUAUGACAAUGGGGGGCCAGUUAUUGACUUGGGUGGAAAAGUGGUCGGAAUGGUCAAUGACCUUGAGAGAUUUGAGUCUUUUAUACCUUCUUCCAUUGUGCUCAAUUGUUUGGAUUCAUGGAGGAAAUAUCGGCAUUUCGCCCGGCCCCAUCUUGGAAUGACGUUUAAGGCCAUCGAACUUCUAGAACCUUCUCAUGUUGACAUGUUAUGGCGUAUGUAUAACAUUGAUGACGGUCUUGUUGUUCAAGAGGUGUCAAAAGGAUCUAAUGCUGAGAUACUCGGAAUCCAAAAAGGUGAUGUUAUUGAAUCUAUCAAUGGAAAACGUGUUUCUACAACAAUUCAGUUCGAAAAUAUGCUGAUGAGCACAUGCAAGGUCCCUUCAGGUGUUGAAGUUCAUAUUUCUGUUGGGGUGUUUCACACACUCAAAAAAGAAUGA